GAUGAACGCUGGCGGCGUGCCUAAUACAUGCAAGUCGAGCGAACGGACGAGAAGCUUGCUUCUCUGAUGUUAGCGGCGGACGGGUGAGUAACACGUGGAUAACCUACCUAUAAGACUGGGAUAACUUCGGGAAACCGGAGCUAAUACCGGAUAAUAUUUUGAACCGCAUGGUUCAAAAGUGAAAGACGGUCUUGCUGUCACUUAUAGAUGGAUCCGCGCUGCAUUAGCUAGUUGGUAAGGUAACGGCUUACCAAGGCAACGAUGCAUAGCCGACCUGAGAGGGUGAUCGGCCACACUGGAACGGAGACGCGGUCCAGACGCCUAAGGGAGGCAGCAGUAGGGAAUCUUCCGCAAUGGGCGAAAGUCUGACGGAGCAACGCCGCGUGAGUGAUGGAGGUCUUCGGAUCGUAAAACUCUGUUAUUAGGGAAGAACAGAUGUGUAAGGAACUGUGCACAUCUUGACGGUACCUAAUCAGAAAGCCACGGCUAACUACGUG
Molecule: ribosomal RNA, 497 nt
Filed under: uncultured bacterium
Lineage: Bacteria
Description: partial 16S ribosomal RNA
Rfam family: Bacterial small subunit ribosomal RNA
Source: RNAcentral